CCCUUAGAUGUUCUGGGCCGCACGCGCGCUACACUGAUGCAUUCAACGAGUCUAAAACCUGGUCUGAUAGGGCUGGGUAAUCUUUUGAAUGUGCAUCGUGAUUGGGAUAGAUGAUUGCAAUUCUUCAUCUUCAACGAGGAAUGCCUAGUAAACGCAAGUCAUCAGCUUGCAUUGAUUACGUCCCUGCCCUUUGUACACACCGCCCGUUGCUCCUACCGAUUGAAUGUUCCGAUGAAUACCAUGGACUGAGAGUAUGAAUGGGUUCGCCUAUUUCUGCUUCUCGGGAAGUGGAGUAAAUCUUAACAUUUAGAGGAAGGAGAAGUCGUAACA
This 330-nucleotide ribosomal RNA is filed under the name uncultured eukaryote. RNAcentral's name for it is "partial 18S ribosomal RNA". It matches the Rfam family "Eukaryotic small subunit ribosomal RNA", at positions 1470 to 1796 of the family's 1831-position model. The record is from RNAcentral.